GGAGCAUGUGGUUUAAUUCGAUGAUACGCGAAGAACCUUACCGGGGUUUGACAUGCGAGGUGAUCGCCGUUGAAAGACGGUUUCCUCUUCGGAGGCACCUGCACAGGUGCUGCAUGGCUGUCGUCAGCUCGUGUCGUGAGAUGUUGGUUAAGUCCCGCAACGAGCGCAACCCCUAUUGCCAGUUAAUUUCUCUGGCGAGACUGCCCUGCAAAACGGGGAGGAAGGUGGGGAUGACGUCAAGUCAGCACGGCCCUUAUGCCUUGGGCGACACACACGCUACAAUGGGUGGUACAAUGGGUUGCAAUAGAGCGAUCUGGAGCUAAUCCUAAAAACCAUCCUCAGUUCAGAUUGCAGGCUGAAACCCGCCUGCAUGAAGCUGGAGUUGCUAGUAACUGCAGGUCAGCAUACUGCGGUGAAUACGUUCUCGGGCCUU
This 433-nucleotide ribosomal RNA is filed under the name uncultured Chloroflexota bacterium. Its description in RNAcentral is "bacterial SSU rRNA". It matches the Rfam family "Bacterial small subunit ribosomal RNA", at positions 934 to 1382 of the family's 1533-position model. Lineage: Bacteria; Bacillati; Chloroflexota. The record is from RNAcentral.